UUUUCCAUCUCCCAACCAAACCAUCACUUAAGCCACAGUAAAACAACCAAAAAGUCAUAAACCAUCAAAGAAAAGUCAGCUUCUUCUCCCUUUAACGCCAUGGAUGCUGCUCCAUUUCACCACUGUAGCACAACAAAAAAUACAACAAAAGCUCUCACCUUUAAUCACUAUUUCUCUUAGAUGUUCAAUUUCUCCUUCCCAAAUAUUCCCCUCUCUAUUGCAGGCGCAACCACAACUUCACUCCAUUAAAAGUUACUGUUCGUUUUGCUUCCAUUACUGCUCUUCCCAAAUUUCGUUGAUGCUCUUUCAUUGGUUUGGUUCCUCUAUUUGGUCACAUAUUAAUCUUUCUGCCACCGCCCGUCAAAAAAUCCUUCACUAUUUUUUUCUUUCUUCUUUCUCAAAAUUAAAUCAUAAAUCGUCUCAGCCCACUUGAUUGAUAUACUUUACCAGCAAAAACCACUAUUAAAUCCAAAUCGUGGUGAAAUUUGAAGGUUUUAAAUGUUUUCUUUUUCAGAUUUGGGGAAGUGAGAUUGAAGAAAUGUUAGUGAUUAUGUGGUGGUAUAAUAGUGGGAUUUUUAACUUUUGAAUUUGCCUAAUAGUGGAUAGUGAUUAUGGUGGUAAUGGAAGCUGUGUCUUUAAUGUAUUUUUUCUGUCAUGGAGGGAAAUGAUGAGUAAG
Molecule: long non-coding RNA, 676 nt
Filed under: Nicotiana benthamiana
Lineage: Eukaryota; Viridiplantae; Streptophyta; Magnoliopsida; Solanales; Solanaceae
Description: long non-coding RNA (NBEN_LNC028545)
Source: RNAcentral